CUGAAUACCGAAGCUAUUCACACACGCGCACGCAGAAACGGAACACCCCACACACACGCAUACGCACAGCCAGUGGGAGAGAGAUCCUGAAAUUGGAAAGAUGCCGGUGAUGGAUAAGCUGAAGAUUUUCGUUGUACAAGAGCCUGUUGUUGCGGCUUCUUGCCUCAUCGCUGGCGUUGGACUCUUCCUUCCUGCUGUUGUGAGGCCUAUAUUGGAUUCCUAUGGCACAUCUAACCAAGGGCCCAAGACUUGUAUGAGUGAUAUAGUUGCUACUAUGAUUGAGAAGAAGAGAUAAACGUCAGAUUGGGCAAUUUUUCUUUUAUUAUGCAGCUUCUUGAGAAUAAAUUUUAACCCAAAUCUCCAUCUUCCAUAAAUGUAUCUUUUGCAUUCUACUUUGUAAAAGGACGAGAAGACUUAUAUGCUACUCCUAGCAUAGACAUUGUCACAUGUAACAAAUUUACGAAGUUUCAGUCACAUAAUUGUUGUAUGGUAUUUUAUUUUUCAUUGAAAUUUUCUGGUUCUUGCUGCCA
This is a long non-coding RNA of Salvia splendens (bonfire salvia), 530 nucleotides long. RefSeq lists it as uncharacterized. The transcript has 3 exons. NCBI's taxonomy places the organism in Eukaryota, Viridiplantae, Streptophyta, Magnoliopsida, Lamiales, Lamiaceae. The record is from RefSeq and is a predicted model, not a curated record.